GACAUUGAAUUGUUAGAAACAGUGCUGCCGUCUGGCGAAAGUUCGUCGUCCUCUUCGAUGCUGUUCUGGAGAAGAAGUUGCUGCUCGUGUUCCUGUUCAUCACGAGCGGAAGGCAAUCUGGUAAGUGGUCUUUUACUGGAGGAGCUCCUCGUUUUUCUCUUUUGGCCUUGAGCCGUGGUCGCUUGUCUUUGCUGUUGUUGGCUCGCUUGCGGCUUGCUAACAAUGUCGUUUGCGCUUUUGUAGUGCCUCUGGAUCCACUCCAACUAGAAGCAAAGGCGGGGAGAGCAUCAGCGGAAUAACCGAUGAGAUGAAGAACAGGGAAACGUAGUACCUUGCAGCCGAGCGAGCAAAACUUGAAGGUAUCGAGCAAGCUUCGAUCGCAAAUCUCACAUGUGUUUGUGACUCCCUUUGCGUGGCGUGGCUGCGGCCGCUGGUUGAGGAAGACAACGCGAGCGCUGUUGAUAAUGUAGGAUUGGACACCGCUCAAGUCGAGACACUUUUGGAUCUCCGACACGCGAAUUACGUCGUGGUACGAUGACCUCCGGAUCUGCAUGGCAGCGAAAAGAAGCAAAAAAAAAGAGGAGAGAGUUUUGAUCGCGAGCUUUAUAAAGUUUGCAAAGAAAGAAGCAAGGAAACGAAGAAACGCUGUGCAACAAAGCUAUGGAAGAACUGAAACGAAGCUAUGGAAGAAUUGAAAAGCAAAGAAGCGAUGUAACGAAGCUAUGGAAGAAUUGAAGGGAUUAGAAGGAAAGAUUGAUCAUGGCUUGUUCCAAUUGGAAUCAAGAUGAGAGCUCUUCACUUUGUUCGUUUAUCAGCACUCAUCAUCUCAUUGUUUUGAUCGCGCGAUCAAAAAGGGAAUUUUGGAAUUCCGGAACUCAAAUCGUGGUUGGGAGUGAAAUUGCGAUCAAUGCAGGCUGUUCUAUGUGCGCUAAGCAGCGGCGAGAAAACCCACGAGCGCGAUUUUGCUAAGCAAAUCCCAGGAUCACGUAAAAAGCAC
RNAcentral lists this long non-coding RNA (997 nucleotides) under Selaginella moellendorffii. RNAcentral's name for it is "long non-coding RNA (SMOE_LNC001566)". The record is from RNAcentral. Lineage: Eukaryota; Viridiplantae; Streptophyta; Lycopodiopsida; Selaginellales; Selaginellaceae.